UAAAGUUGAAUAUGCUUACCGUAGACAGUAGGUGCCGUUAGCUGGCUUAAUUUCCUACCGAGGUGUUAUGAUAGAACGUCAGCAGUUUGUCCGGACUUGUCCGGCUAAAAUGAUGAUUCAUCAGGCCUUCGUGAUUCUACGGAGGCUUUUUUAGUGCCCGU
This is a non-coding RNA of Paenibacillus sp. DMB20, 161 nucleotides long. The record is from Rfam. Lineage: Bacteria; Bacillati; Bacillota; Bacilli; Caryophanales; Paenibacillaceae.